RNAcentral lists this ribosomal RNA (253 nucleotides) under uncultured bacterium. RNAcentral's name for it is "partial 16S ribosomal RNA". It matches the Rfam family "Bacterial small subunit ribosomal RNA", at positions 524 to 776 of the family's 1533-position model. The record is from RNAcentral.
UACGAAGGGGGCUAGCGUUGCUCGGAAUCACUGGGCGUAAAGGGCGCGUAGGCGGCGUUUUAAGUCGGGGGUGAAAGCCUGUGGCUCAACCACAGAAUGGCCUUCGAUACUGGGACGCUUGAGUAUGGUAGAGGUUGGUGGAACUGCGAGUGUAGAGGUGAAAUUCGUAGAUAUUCGCAAGAACACCGGUGGCGAAGGCGGCCAACUGGAUCAUUACUGACGCUGAGGCGCGAAAGCGUGGGGAGCAAACAGG